ACCAAAAUGCCGCUCGUCACUUCCUGCUCCGGCCGGCCGCCUACCAUCCUGGCCACUUCACGCUGGCCGUACCCCACCGUGGAAGUAUAACAAGAACAUAGAGCUGGAGGACCACAGGUGCCAAAUGGUUCCCUCAGAAACACCGGUGUACGAGGAGAGCGCGGAGCCGCAGCAGCGGCGACCACAUGAUAAGAAGCCUUAACCAGAAGCCACCAGGAAACAGCAGCAGCUGUAGGAGACGCGAGGAGAACAGAAGCAGGUGGACGCUGAGACACACAGAGCUUAGGAACAGUCUUUCAAGCACAUCCAUAUAUUCAUUGCCUGACAGGCGCAGUUACAAUCCAUUUCACGG
Long non-coding RNA from Pseudophryne corroboree (corroboree frog), 352 nucleotides. RefSeq lists it as uncharacterized. NCBI's taxonomy places the organism in Eukaryota, Metazoa, Chordata, Amphibia, Anura, Myobatrachidae. The transcript is spliced from 3 exons. The record is from RefSeq and is a predicted model, not a curated record.